This 493-nucleotide ribosomal RNA is filed under the name fungal sp. ZH A5-2. RNAcentral's name for it is "eukaryotic LSU rRNA". The stretch from base 128 to 281 matches the Rfam family "5.8S ribosomal RNA". The record is from RNAcentral. Lineage: Eukaryota; Fungi.
GGGCUUCGGCCCUGUCUGCACCCUUGUCUUUUGCGUACUGUCUGUUUCCUUGGUGGGCUUGCCCACCAAAAGGACACUAUACAACCACUUGUAAUAGCAAUCAGCGUCAGAUAACUAUAAUAGUUACAACUUUCAACAACGGAUCUCUUGGUUCUGGCAUCGAUGAAGAACGCAGCGAAAUGCGAAAAGUAGUGUGAAUUGCAGAAUUCAGUGAAUCAUCGAAUCUUUGAACGCACAUUGCGCCCCUUGGUAUUCCAUGGGGCAUGCCUGUUCGAGCGUCAUUUGUACCCUCAAGCUCUGCUUGGUGUUGGGUGUUGUCCAGUGUGGACUCGCCUCAAAACAAUUGGCAGCCGGCAUAUCUGGUCUUGGAGCGCAGCACAAUUGCACUUCCAGCCUGAGAUGUUGGCAUCCACAAGCCUAAUUUUUUACGCUUGACCUCGGAUCAGGUAGGGAUACCCGCUGAACUUAAGCAUAUCAAUAGCCCGGAGGAAAG